UUAAACUGAAGAGUUUGAUCAUGGCUCAGAUUGAACGCUGGCGGCAGGCUUAACACAUGCAAGUCGAGCGGGGCGAAGGUA
This 81-nucleotide ribosomal RNA is filed under the name Acinetobacter sp. RF14B. RNAcentral describes it as "partial 16S ribosomal RNA". It matches the Rfam family "Bacterial small subunit ribosomal RNA", at positions 1 to 79 of the family's 1533-position model. Lineage: Bacteria; Pseudomonadati; Pseudomonadota; Gammaproteobacteria; Moraxellales; Moraxellaceae. The record is from RNAcentral.